CCUAACACAUGCAAGUCGAGCGAACCCCUCGGGGUUAGCGGCGGACGGGUUAGUAACGCGUGGGAACGUGCCCAAAGGUACGGAAUAGCAUCGGGAAACUGGUGGUAAUACCGUAUGUGCCCUUCGGGGGAAAGAAUUUCGCCUUUGGAUCGGCCCGCGUAAGAUUAGGUAGUUGGUGAGGUAACGGCUCACCAAGCCUACGAUCUUUAUCUGGUUUGAGAGGAUGAUCAGAAACACUGGGACUGGGACACGGCCCAGACUCCUACGGGAGGCAGCAGUGGGGAAUCUUGGACAAUGGGCGCAAGCCUGAUCCAGCCAUGCCGCGUGAGUGAAGAAGGCCUUAGGGUUGUAAAGCUCUUUCAGGGGUGAGGAUUAUGACAGUAACCCCAGAAGAAGCACCGGCUAACUUCGUGCCAGCAGCCGCGGUAAUACGAAGGGUGCAAGCGUUGUUCGGAAUCACUGGGCGUAAAGGGCGUGUAGGCGGAUGGACAAGUUAGAGGUGAAAGCCCCGGGCUCAACCUGGGAACUGCCUUUAAAACUGUUCAUCUAGAAUCCGGGAGGGGAGUGUGGAAUUCCUAGUGUAGAGGUGAAAUUCGUAGAUAUUAGGAAGAACACCGGUGGCGAAGGCGACACUCUGGACCGGUAUUGACGCUGAG
Molecule: ribosomal RNA, 656 nt
Filed under: uncultured marine bacterium
Lineage: Bacteria
Description: bacterial SSU rRNA
Rfam family: Bacterial small subunit ribosomal RNA
Source: RNAcentral